This 557-nucleotide ribosomal RNA is filed under the name Amanita oblongospora. RNAcentral describes it as "eukaryotic LSU rRNA". The stretch from base 202 to 355 matches the Rfam family "5.8S ribosomal RNA". The record is from RNAcentral. Lineage: Eukaryota; Fungi; Basidiomycota; Agaricomycetes; Agaricales; Amanitaceae.
ACCUGCGGAAGGAUCAUUAUUGAAUGAAACUUCUGGCUGGAUGUUGUUGUGCUGGCCCUUUGGGGCAAUGUGCACGCCUCUGGUCAUUUGUUUCUUCUUUUCCACCUGUGCACUGCCUGUAGACACUGUGUCUAUGAUAUGUUACACACACACACCACAUGUACAGAUAUAGAUGCUUAGGCAUAUGUGUAUAAUAAAUACAACUUUCAACAAUGGAUCUCUUGGCUCUCGCAUCGAUGAAGAACACAGCGAAAUGUGAUAAGUAAUGUGAAUUGCAGAAUCCAGUGAAUCAUCGAAUCUUUGAACGCAUCUUGCGCUCCUUGGCAUUCCAAGGAGCAUGCCUGUUUGAGUGUCGUUAAACUAUCAAAACACUUUUCUUGGGUGUUUUGGACUUUGGGAGUGUCUUGCUGGUCUGUUUGAGCCAGCUCUCCUCAAAAGCAUUAGUUCUGGAGACCAUCAGUGUGAUAAUUUGUUUACACUGACUUGAGUGUCUCGGCUUCUCCUUUUCAAUAUGCAUUUGACCUCAAAUCAGGUAGGACCUACCCGCUGAACUUAAG